GACGAACGCUGGCGGCGUGCCUAACACAUGCAAGUCGAACGGAAAGGCCCUGCUUUUGUUUGGUGCUCGAUUGACGAACGGGUGAGUAACACGUGAUUAACCUGCCCUUGACUUUGGGAUAACGUCAGGAAACUGGGGCUAAUACCGGCUAGUAGCUCCUGCUGCUUGGUGGUGGUUGGUAAGUUUCGGCGGUGGGGGAUGGACUCGCGGCUUAUCAGCCUGUUGGUGUGGUAGUGGCUAACCAAGGCAAUGACGGAUAGCCGGCCUGAGAGGGUGACACGGCACAUAGGGCCUGGGAUAGGGGCAAGACGGCUACGGGAGGCAUCGGUGGGGAAUAGUGCGCGAUGGGCGGAGGGAGGGUGCAGCAUCGCCGCGUCGGGGAUGACGGCUUUCGGGUUGGAAACCGCUUGCGACUGUGACGAAGAGUGAGUGACGGUAAUGUGUAAAGAAGCAACGGCUAACUACGUG
This 468-nucleotide ribosomal RNA is filed under the name uncultured bacterium. RNAcentral describes it as "partial 16S ribosomal RNA". It matches the Rfam family "Bacterial small subunit ribosomal RNA", at positions 28 to 507 of the family's 1533-position model. The record is from RNAcentral.